GAGUUUGAUCCUGGCUCAGAACGUACGCUGGCGGCACGCCUAACACAUGCAAGUCGAACGAAGUAGCAAUACUUAGUGGCAGACGGGUGAGUAACAUGUAGGUAUCUGCCCUUUGGCCUGGAAUAACACGAGGAAACUUGUGCUAAUACCGGAUAAGUCUUUACAGAGAAAGCUUUAUGCACCAUUGGAUGAGCCUGCACUUGAUUAGUUUGUUGGUGGGGUAAUGGCCUACCAAGACUGUGAUCAAUAGCUGAUUUGAGAGGAUGAUCAGCCACAUUGGGACUGAGACACGGCCCAAACUCCUACGGGAGGCAGCAGUGGGGAAUCUUGCACAAUGGAGGAAACUCUGAUGCAGCGAUGCCGCGUGAGUGAAGAAGGCCUUUGGGUUGUAAAGCUCUUUCGUCGGGGAAGAAAAUGACUGUACCCGAAUAAGAAGGUCCGGCUAACUUCGUGCCAGCAGCCGCGGUAAUACGAAGGGACCUAGCGUAGUUCGGAAUUACUGGGCUUAAAGAGUUCGUAGGUGGUUGAAAAAGUUGGUGGUGAAAUCCCAGAGCUUAACUCUGGAACUGCCAUCAAAACUUUUCAGCUAGAGUAUGAUAGAGGAAAGCAGAAUUUCUAGUGUAGAGGUGAAAUUCGUAGAUAUUAGAAAGAAUACCAAUUGC
RNAcentral lists this ribosomal RNA (662 nucleotides) under uncultured bacterium. RNAcentral's name for it is "bacterial SSU rRNA". It matches the Rfam family "Bacterial small subunit ribosomal RNA", at positions 9 to 716 of the family's 1533-position model. The record is from RNAcentral.